Non-coding RNA from Phalacrocorax carbo (great cormorant), 2237 nucleotides. The record is from RefSeq and is a predicted model, not a curated record. Lineage: Eukaryota; Metazoa; Chordata; Aves; Suliformes; Phalacrocoracidae.
UAGAAAUUCGGGAGACGUCAGAAAGGGAAGAUUUGUGAAAUUCAGCUUCACUUCCUGCAGAGGGCUCCAAGCACAGGAAAAGAAAAACCAACAAUUCACAGGAUCAGGCCCUGACUGACAAAUGUAAAUCCGCACUUGCAGCAGACCCCCAUGCUGUCAUGAGCCACUAUUAUUCCUCAUGUGUCUCCUAAAUCGGGAGAUUGGGCAGUGUUGUCACGGAUGUCAUACUAGAAAUUUCAAGUUCAAAAAUGAACUGGAAGUUUUGAUUCUAGACAACAGUGGUGCAGAAUACGAGAGGAAGAUUUAUCAGGAGGAAAACAAAACUGACUGUGUGGACUAACCAAAGGUCAGCAAAACUUCAAAUGGUAAGCAAACACCAGACAUGAAUCAAUAAAGAUUUCCUUCAGCUUGUAGUGUUGUUACUACUUACAUCACUAGGGUGCUUUCAAGCGCCGUCAGCCCUUAACUGUCUGUGCUGGUUUCGUGGCUGCUCCCGUCAGUGUCCGAGUCGGACUUUGCGGCCUGCUUGCGAUUGUGCCGGACCAGCUGUGCCUGGAGCCCUGCCGGGUGCCUGCCUGUGCGUGGAGACAGGCGAGCACUGCGCAUCUCCUGGCGUACCCAGCCCCACCUUCCCUUGCCCGCUCUCACUGUGAAAGGUGGUUCUUCAGUUUACAAAAAUAGGAAAUGUAGAGUGAAUACUAACUAGAUUGCAAAUAAUCCUUCUAAGUGGUUGGGGAUACAGCUGAAGAAACCUCAUGUUUUACUAACCAGAAGACAGAACGAGAUUAAUAGCUAAUUAAAUGAAUUUUGGGGGCCCAGGGAUGACCAGUGAGAAGAACCGGGAUGACCUCGGUAGCUGCAGCCUGCGGAGAACAUCUCUUCAAACAGCAGUUUGUAGCGGCGCCAUUUGCUCCUCACAGGAGCGGGCCCGUCGCGGUGGGCGCCAGCACGUGCUUCGGGGCCGCCGGUAGCAGGCGCAGGUGGCAGGGCUGGCCCUGGGCGCCGGCUGGCAUCUUCGGCCCCCACGUGUGAAACUACCUUCUACUUUUGUUUCUUCAGGUUGAGCACGAGGGUCUCUAAGUGCGGGAUUAGGCCCCAAGGAAGGUGGUGUGAAGAAAAACGCCUCUGUUGAUGCAUAUGUGAGGAGAGAGGUUUUGGCAGCCGGCGUCGCGAGGCCUGGCCAACCUGCACACUUGCUGCAUUUUAUGUGCUAGUCUUGUUCAUCGCUAGCUUUGAAGGACAUACCCUCAUCUGGACUAUGGAAAGCUGGGAAGCCAGGAUAGUACUGUCAUAUUCUGCUUUUUGUCUUGAUCAUUGUGAUAACUGCAGCACUUCAGAAGUGUGGUGACGUGUAGGAGUGGAAACUGCCUCAACUCAGUGCUCCCAGUGAACUCAGAGGGCCAGUUACCUUAGCUGCCUGAAGAAGAGUUACUCCUAGUAUUACCCAGCUGGCAGUGGGAAGGAGUUAGAUUUUAAUAAGUCAUCUUUGACUGAUGUCCUUCCACUUCUGGCCUACUAGCUUAUUACAAAAUACGCUUUUUUAUGUAUCAUACUUGCCAGCUCUAACUUGUCAUUGCAGAUCACAUCUGUGUUCGUUUUAUUCAUGUUUUUGUACCUUUGUGAGCUGAGAAGUAAUUUUGUGAUGGGAGGAAGCAGAGGGGAAUUAAUGAGCUGUGUCUCUUCAAAUACACUACAUUUUUAAUAAAUUUAUUCGGUUGGUACCAGAAAUAGAAUUCAAUGGUAAAGCAACUCCUAAUGCUAAAAUUCUUCCUUAACUGUAUGGGAAGAUUGAAAGUUCGAUUUUAAAUCAUAAAGAUUUUCUCAGCAGAUUAUGAGGAAAUACUUCACUGGGUUUAAAAAAAGUUGCCUACUCUCUGAGCCUAACUUCGGCAAUGCGUCUGGAAAAAAUGUUACUAUCUAUCUAAAUAAAGUGCUGUUUAAUGGUGAGCUGAUUUAUCAGAACAUUAGUUUUUAUAACUAAAAUAUACAUUUGAUUUUAAAAUGUGUAAUUUCCUGUGGUUUCUUUUGACGUCUGGCCACUUUUGUUUGAAAGUGUCUUUUAUGUUGGUCAUUACCCUUGUUCAAACGCUCUGUGAAAGCCCUUUUUCUUUAUGCUGAACCCUCCUUAUGCAGUGUUCACUUCUGACAAAUUAUUUUUUAAAACACAUUAAUUGCCUAAAGGAAAGUCUUUUCAAGACUCUGCUGAAAAGAUAAUGUCACAAAUUUUAUUGGAAGGA